CAGCCGCCGCGGUAAUACAGAGGAUGCAAGCGUUAUCCGGAAUGGUUGGGCGUAAAGCGUGCGCAGGCGGUUCGUUAAGACAGAUGUGAAGUCCCCGGGCUUAACCUGGGAACUGCAUUUGUGACUGGCGAGCUAGAGUAUGGCAGAGGGGGGUAGAAUUCCACGUGUAGCAGUGAAAUGCGUAGAGAUGUGGAGGAAUACCGAUGGCGAAGGCAGCCCCCUGGGCCAAUACUGACGCUCAUGCACGAAAGCGUGGGGAGCAAACAGGAUUAGAUACCCCCGUAGUCCCUGUCUCUUAUAC
Molecule: ribosomal RNA, 301 nt
Filed under: uncultured bacterium
Lineage: Bacteria
Description: partial 16S ribosomal RNA
Rfam family: Bacterial small subunit ribosomal RNA
Source: RNAcentral